RNAcentral lists this ribosomal RNA (466 nucleotides) under uncultured bacterium. Its description in RNAcentral is "partial 16S ribosomal RNA". It matches the Rfam family "Bacterial small subunit ribosomal RNA", at positions 28 to 507 of the family's 1533-position model. The record is from RNAcentral.
GAUGAACGCUGGCGGCGUGCUUAACACAUGCAAGUCGAACGGAAAGGCCCAAGCUUGCUUGGUUGCUCGAUUGCCGCACGGGUGAGUAUCACACGGGUGAUCUGCCCUUCUCUUUGUGGUAAACCUGGGAAACUGGGUCUAAUAUCCGAUAGAAUCAUCGUUUCGUGUUGGUGCUGGAAAGUUUUUCGGUUUGGGUUGAGCUCGCGGCGUAUCCGCUUGUUGGUGGGGUAAUGGGUUACCAACGCGUCGACGGGUAGCCGGCCUGAGAGGGUGUACGGCCACAUUGAGACUGAGAGACGGCAGAGACACCGACGGGAGGCAGAAGUGGGGAAGAUUGAAGAAGGAGCGCAAGGCUGAUGCAGCGACGCCGCGUGGGGGAUGACGGUGUUCGGGUUGUAAACUAAUUGCGCAAAGGACGAAGCGUUUUGUGACGGUACUUGGAGAAGAAGCACCGGCUAACUACGUG